AUGUACCACGUGCACUCUGCGGUUGCUCAGCCCCGUCCGCACUCACCUGGCGACUGCUCGCUACGUUUUGUUAGCC
Molecule: small RNA, 76 nt
Filed under: Xanthomonas fragariae
Lineage: Bacteria; Pseudomonadati; Pseudomonadota; Gammaproteobacteria; Lysobacterales; Lysobacteraceae
Description: sX9 sRNA
Rfam family: Xanthomonas sRNA sX9
Source: RNAcentral